Molecule: small nuclear RNA, 186 nt
Organism: Hemiscyllium ocellatum (epaulette shark)
Lineage: Eukaryota; Metazoa; Chordata; Chondrichthyes; Orectolobiformes; Hemiscylliidae
Product: U2 spliceosomal RNA
Exons: 1
Source: RefSeq, a predicted model, not a curated record
AUCACUUCUCGGGCUUUUGGCUAAGGUCAUGUCUGUUCUUGUGAGUUUUAAUAUCUGAUACAUCCCUGACUUAGGGAGUAAAUAUUUAUCUGAUUUUUUGCAGGAAGAAGUUGGUUUACAAGCUUGCUGAACCAACUUCGCACAUCGUCCUGGUAUUGCAGUAUUUCUGGGAAUGGUGCACCCAUU